RNAcentral lists this ribosomal RNA (225 nucleotides) under uncultured bacterium. RNAcentral describes it as "partial 16S ribosomal RNA". It matches the Rfam family "Bacterial small subunit ribosomal RNA", at positions 15 to 230 of the family's 1533-position model. The record is from RNAcentral.
GAUCCAUGGCUCAGGAUGAACGCUAGCUACAGGCUUAACACAUGCAAGUCGAGGGGCAGCAUGGUCUUAGCUUACUAAGGCCGAUGGCGACCGGCGCACGGGUGAGUAACACGUAUCCAACCUGCCGUCUACUCUUGGACAGCCUUCUGAAAGGAAGAUUAAUACAAGAUGGCAUCAUGAGUCCGCAUGUUCACAUGAUUAAAGGUAUUCCGGUAGACGAUGGGG